RNAcentral lists this long non-coding RNA (1371 nucleotides) under Mytilus galloprovincialis (Mediterranean mussel). The record is from RNAcentral. Lineage: Eukaryota; Metazoa; Mollusca; Bivalvia; Mytilida; Mytilidae.
GUGUGAGAUUUUGAAGUUUGUUAGGUUUUUAAAAGGUGUUCAACUGCAUGCAUGCGCAGUUGACGUGAAGAUGCUUACAUGAUAAACAAAUUGUGUAAAAUUGUCCUUAAAGGGCAAUAACUCUUUAAUGGAUCAAUUGAAAAUUUUGGUCAUGCUAACUUAUUUGUAGAUCUUAAUUAGCUGAACAUAUUUGCUAUUUACAGCUUAUCUUUAUCAUUAAUACUUUUCAAGAUAAUAACCAAAAACUGCAAAAUUUCCUUAAAAUUACCAAUUUAAUGGCAGCAACCCAACAAUGAGUUAUUACGGGGAUGAAGUCCCAAAUUAUGGUAGGAAAAUCAAUAAAAAUAAAUUUAAAAAAUCGGGAAAAUUUUCCCGAAUUUUUCAUUCUACUAAUGAACUCAAAAUCGUUAACUUUUUUUUCCAGAUCUACUUCCGUUUCCGGUCUGGUUUGCAUGAGACUUUGAAUAAAAUGUAUAUUUAUCAACAUAUCAACAAAUAUAGAAAGGAAUUCAACACCCAAUCAUUUUUAAUAAUUGUUUGAUAUGAAAAAAACGUUACCUGGAUAACAGAGUUUCUUUGUUUACAUUUAUACGAAUACUUAAUAACGUCACAACUAAUCCCUAACAACAAACCAAUAUUGGAACGUUACGUAUGUCCGUUUCUUUUAUCAACAUGUUUGAAUUAGAAAUACAAUAAUACAGACUUCGUUCCCAUUCACAGAUAAUGCCUGCCUCAUAUUAGAUUCAUCUGAAAAUUUCAGGGCUGAUAGAACUUUAUCUCUUAAACACUUUAACCUUAUGACAGAUUUGCUCUAACUGCUUUGGUUUUUGAAAUACGGGUGUAUAAGACAAAAAUUGCAUUUUACCCCUAUGUUCUUCUUUUAGCCAUGUCCGCCAUGUUUUUUUGACGAAACAAAAAACAAAGCACAAAGUUUAUUCUAGAUACCAUAAGGAUCAUUCAGCUCAAGUUUGGUUGGAAUUGGUUCAGUGGUUUCAGAAAAAAAGAUUUUUUAAAGUUUGAAAACAUGAUAAACAAAUUGUGUAUAAUAAAGGGUCAAUUGACAAUUUAGGUCAUACUAACUUAUUUGUAGAUCUUACUUUGCUGAACAUAUUUGCUAUAUACAGUUUAUCGUUAUCAUGAAUACUAUUCAAGAUAAUAACCAAAAACUGCAAAAUUUCCUUAAAAUUACCAAUUUAGUGGCAGCAACCCAAUAAUAGGUUAUCAGAUUCAUCUGAAAAUUUCACAGCUGAUAGAACGUUACCUUAUGAACACUUUAAUCUCCUGUCAGAUUUGCUCUAACUGCUUUGGUUUUUGAGAUGUAAGCCAAAAACUGCAUUUUACCCCUAUGUUCUAUUUUUAACCAUGGCGGCC